Molecule: non-coding RNA, 31 nt
Filed under: Mus musculus (house mouse)
Lineage: Eukaryota; Metazoa; Chordata; Mammalia; Rodentia; Muridae
Source: RNAcentral
UAGGACCUUGUUCAGGGAAAUACCUGGCCCU